RNAcentral lists this ribosomal RNA (429 nucleotides) under Bacteroidota bacterium. RNAcentral's name for it is "Bacteroidetes bacterium partial 16S ribosomal RNA". It matches the Rfam family "Bacterial small subunit ribosomal RNA", at positions 355 to 776 of the family's 1533-position model. The record is from RNAcentral. Lineage: Bacteria; Pseudomonadati; Bacteroidota.
UAGGGAAUCUUCCGCAAUGGACGCAAGUCUGACGGAGCAACGCCGCGUGAGUGAAGAAGGAUUUCGGUUCGUAAAACUCUGUUGUUAGAGAAGAACAGCGCAUAGAGUAACUGUUAUGCGUGUGACGGUAUCUAACCAGAAAGCCACGGCUAACUACGUGCCAGCAGCCGCGGUAAUACGUAGGUGGCAAGCGUUGUCCGGAUUUAUUGGGCGUAAAGCGAGCGCAGGCGGUCAAUUAAGUCUGAUGUGAAAGCCCCCGGCUCAACCGGGGAGGGUCAUUGGAAACUGGUUGACUUGAGUGCAGAAGGGGAGAGUGGAAUUCCAUGUGUAGCGGUGAAAUGCGUAGAUAUAUGGACGAACACCAGUGGCGAAGGCGACUCUCUGGUCUGUAACUGACGCUGAGGCUCGAAAGCGUGGGUAGCAAACAGG